Molecule: ribosomal RNA, 491 nt
Filed under: uncultured soil bacterium
Lineage: Bacteria
Description: bacterial SSU rRNA
Rfam family: Bacterial small subunit ribosomal RNA
Source: RNAcentral
AGAUUGAACGCUGGCGGCAUGCCUAACACAUGCAAGUCGAACGGGAGUAGCAAUACUCUAGUGGCGGACGGGUGAGGAAUACGUAGGAAUUUGCCCUUAAGUGGGGGAUAACCCGGGGAAACCCGGAUUAAUACCGCAUGACCUCGAAAGAGCAAAGUGGGGGAUCGCAAGACCUCACGCUUUUGGAGAAGCCUACGUCGGAUUAGCUAGUUGGUGAGGUAAUGGCUCACCAAGGCGACGAUCCGUAACUGGUCUGAGAGGAUGAUCAGUCACACCGGAACUGAGACACGGUCCGGACUCCUACGGGAGCAGCAGUGGGAAUAUUGGACAAUGGGCGCAAGCCUGAUCCAGCAAUGCCGCGUGUGUGAAGAAGGCCUUCGGUUGUAAAGCAACUUUAAGGUUAGGGAAGAAAAAACGUACGACGUACUAACAACAGUAGAGUCUUACGACGGUACCGACGAAGAAUAAAGACACCGGACUAACUCUAGUCG